AUGUGUUCUCUGUCAUCUCGGCAGCUUGCACGUCUGCGGUGCGAAGACACAGAUGGGAAAACCUGGCAAGCAGAGGAGGCAGGAGCUUCGCUCCAGAGCGGCCUCCUCCGACACUCGCCUUCUGGUCACCCAACCGAGCCCACAGCGCGACAACCCUCCCCCGCCGGCAGCGGGCCUGGCAACCCAAGGCACCCAGGGCUGCACUUGCCACGAUUACAAGGGAACAGCAGCACACACAGGCCCCUACUCCGCAGCCGCCCGCCGCGGGGGCAGCACCCGGCCCCGAUUCCGCCCAGCAGCCCCGGCGACACCCGCUCUCCUCAGCUCCCCUGGGACUCGCCCACCGGGGAGGCCCGCACACCCGGCCUCAGCACCGGGGAGUGGCGGGAGGGCUGGGGCGGCGCCAAUCGGGGCCUCGNNNNNNNNNNCCCCGGCGCCGCUGCCGCCAGUCGGUUCCGGAGUGAACAGCCGCCGGUUGGGGGAAGGGCCCGCGGCUCGGCGGGAGGCUGGGCCUACUCCUUUCCACGGCGCCAGCGAGGGCCGGCGGUGGGGAGGAAGGGGAAGGGCGGCGCGACCCGCGGUCCCAGCCGGUUACCUGCGCGGCGCAGCGCCCGCCUGCGUCGCCUCCCCCGGCGGCGGCGGCGGCGGAGCGAGGACGCGAGCGCACCGGAAACAGACACGGCGCGCGGGGGGGGAGGUGGAUGCCGCGCGGCGGGCUCACCUGCGCCCCCGCCGCCCCCCGCCUCCUCAGCGCCGCCGCCGCCGGCACCAACUCCCGCAGCCGGCAGAGAGGGGGGGAGGCGCGGGGGGGGCUCAGCGGUGGCGGCGGCCGUCCUCCCCGCUGCGGGCCCUCACGGUGUCUCGGGUAAACCGGCCGGGCGGCGACUGGGCCUCGGCGCCGUGAGAGGCCCCUCUGCGGCCGUGUGUGUGUUUUUGUGUGUGUGUGUGUGCGUGUCCGUCCCCCCCCUGCGCCCUCGUGGUCUCGCCCGCUGCUGGCCCGCCGGCGGGGGAGGGAGGAGCAGCCCGGGAUGGCGGCGGGGACAAAUCGCGGGUCGGGUUCGGCGUCGCGCUGGGGACGUGGCUGCGUCCCCCCCUCAGGGUCGAGGAGCAUAA
Molecule: long non-coding RNA, 1113 nt
Filed under: Calidris pugnax (ruff)
Lineage: Eukaryota; Metazoa; Chordata; Aves; Charadriiformes; Scolopacidae
Description: lncRNA (ENSCPUG00000007090.1)
Source: RNAcentral